Molecule: ribosomal RNA, 468 nt
Filed under: uncultured bacterium
Lineage: Bacteria
Description: partial 16S ribosomal RNA
Rfam family: Bacterial small subunit ribosomal RNA
Source: RNAcentral
GACGAACGCUGGCGGCGUGCUUUACACACGCAAGUCGAACGGAAAGGCCCUGCUUUUGUGGGGUGCUCGAGUGGCGAACGGGUGAGUAACACGUGAGUAACCUGCCCUUGACUUUGGGAUAACUUCAGGAAACUGGGGCUAAUACCGGAUAGGAGCUCCUGCUGCAUGGUGGGGGUUGGAAAGUUUCGGCGGUUGGGGAUGGACUCGCGGCUUAUCAGCUUGUUGGUGGGGUAGUGGCUUACCAAGGCUUUGACGGGUAGCCGGCCUGAGAGGGUGACCGGCCACAUUGGGACUGAGAUACGGCCCAGACUCCUACGGGAGGCAGCAGUGGGGAAUAUUGCACAAUGGGCGGAAGCCUGAUGCAGCAACGCCGCGUGCGGGAUGACGGCCUUCGGGUUGUAAACCGCUUUCGCCUGUGACGAAGCGUGAGUGACGGUAAUGGGUAAAGAAGCACCGGCUAACUACGUG